UUUAGAAAGAAAAUCAACAUUCUCAUUUGCUAAGUGGAUUGGAAAAAUGAAUUCAAAUCUCGUUGAAUUGAAUUUACAAAAUUUUACGACCUAUAUUUAUUAUACAAGAGAAAGCUUUUAAAAUGUGAAAUAAGAAAAGACUUAAAUAGAAGUCAAUUAUUGGAAAGCAAUCAAAGACAAUUAGCUUAAUUUCAGUUGCAUCUUCACAUUUAGUGAUGAAAAAGACUCGCUCCCUAUCUAAAUUAUAAUUCAUUCUAAACUUUCAUAUGGAUUAACAGUUAAAAAAGAAAAUUUGAGCAAUUUCAAUCUAUCAUCUUUGUAACGUGUUUCUUAUCAUGACACUUAUGAAAGUGACUAAUCCAAGUUUUAUUCCAUUU
RNAcentral lists this long non-coding RNA (377 nucleotides) under Jatropha curcas. RNAcentral's name for it is "long non-coding RNA (JCUR_LNC001538)". Lineage: Eukaryota; Viridiplantae; Streptophyta; Magnoliopsida; Malpighiales; Euphorbiaceae. The record is from RNAcentral.